Eriocheir sinensis (Chinese mitten crab) is the source of this 3386-nucleotide long non-coding RNA. RefSeq lists it as uncharacterized. The transcript has 2 exons. NCBI's taxonomy places the organism in Eukaryota, Metazoa, Arthropoda, Malacostraca, Decapoda, Varunidae. The record is from RefSeq and is a predicted model, not a curated record.
AAACGGAAGAGAUAGAUGGAAUAAAAAAAGAAACAGAUCAUAAGGAAGAGAAAGGGGAGGAGAAAUGGGAUAGAUUGCAUGGGUAUUUUCCCGACUCUCUCCCCUCCCUUCCUCUCCCCUUCUCUCUCCUCCCCCACUCCCCACUCUCCCUCUCUGGAAGCGGAAAAGAUGGAAUAGAGAAAUAAAUGUAGACUCUGAAGGAAAGGCAGGGAUGAAGUCGAUAUGGAGAUGGAAUAGAAUAGGAUCGCGACUUUCCCAACUCUCUCCCUCCUUCAUCCCCUUUCCCAUCCCCCCUUCCUCCCCUACUCAUCACCAACACCAUAACUCCAGCUCUUUUACACAAGGGUACAGAGAGACCCCGAGAGGCAAGGCGGUGAUCACGUAGCUGCGUAGAACCAGUUAUAUUUCCCGUCUGUCUGUCUGUCUGUCCUGCCCGUCUAUAAAUCUAUCUGACGUUCAUUGUAUCGGGCGAUCACCAUAUAAGAGCUACCAUGUCUGUGUUGCGGGGGGUGGGGUUGGGGUAGGCAGUUGGUUUGACAUGCAAUAACUGAUAGGUAGGUAGAUGGAUAGGUUUUAUGACUUGGAAUUAUGUUGUAAAGUGGUUUAGAAUGUAAGUUUUUAUGCCAGAUAGUGAAGAUAGGGGAGGAUAGACUAGCCGAGGAAAAGUAUUAGGGUUCCUGUACGCCGGUUACUUAAAUAUGACAAGUACUUAUAAUCCUCCAAGGAAGUACAAUUGGAGGACCAAGGAACUGAACACCAUAGAUUAUACAGCCUCCCAAAAUACAGUAGCAAGAGAAAGGGAUCGAACACCACAUUCUGUACGGUCCAUGAAAAUACAGUAUACAGGAGGACUUACAGACCGAACACUACAUGCCAUACACCCCCCAAAAUACAAUAACAAGAGUAAAGGAUCGAACACUACCUACCUUACACCCUAUGAAAAUACAACAGCAGGACUAAUGGAUUCGAACACCAUAUUCUAUACAAGCCCAUGAACAUAAACUAUAAGAAGACAAAAAGGAUCGUCCACCACGUAUGCAUUGAUGACCUUUAGAAUUGCAGGAUAUAACUUACGUAAAAAUCAACAGAGGUCACUUUGUUUUGAGGAUGCAGAUAUGAAUUUAGUGAGUGGGCAAAUGUGAAGACUGAUUCAUUCAUUUAUUUAUUUUUUUACAUCAAAGGAUACGGCUCAAGGGCAACAAAAAGUGUACAAAAAAAAAAAAGCCCGCUACUCGCCGCUCCCACAAAAGUAAAUAGUAAAGAGUAGGUUUAGGGUAUCGUAAAACACAUGACUGGCAGCAACUAGAGUAAAGAUAAGCAAAGGAAUAGCUUAUGUUGUUAGAUAGAAAGUCAUGAUUAUAUACGAAGACUGGUUUUGGGUUAGGUUAGGUUUAGAUUAUCUUGAAAGACGUGUCAGACAGCAACAUAGAGAAAUUAUGAACAAAGAGCACAAAUAUUUGGACUUUUUAUGGUUAGGUUAGGUUUAGGAUAUCUUCAAACAUAUGACAGACUAACUUAGAGUAAAAUCAAACUGAAAAAGAGCUCAAAUGUAUAGUAUAGAGUAUUAAUGAACAAAGAGCACACAUAUAUGGACUUUUAUGGUUAGGUUAGGUUUAGGAUAUCUUCAAACAUAGACAGACAAUAACUUAGAGUAAAAACAAACUAAGAAAAAGCUCAAAUGUGUAGUCUGCUUAAUGUUUGGGUUAGAUUUAUGGUAUUUUCGAACUCAUGAUGGGCAACAACUUGGAGUAAGAAUCAACAAGUAGCACAAAUACAGACUUUUAUGGUGUGGGUAAGUUAAGGGUAUCUUCAGAGACAUGACAGGCAGCAACUGAUACCGCAUGGGAAACACUCCACUAUCCACCACAGAAGCACAGAAAGACCUGGGACUAUAGUUAUGUUACCAGGCUACCAGUGAAAGCCAAAUCCGUGCCAAAUACAUAGACUUUAAUGGUUAGGUUAAGUUAAGGGUAUCUUCAAACACAUGACAGGCAGCAGCUGAUGGUGAAAAUAAACAAAGAUCACAAAUACAUGGACUUUAAUGGUUAGGUUAAGUUAAGGGUAUCUUGAAACACAUGACAGGGAGCAGCUGAUAGCGAAAAUAAAGAAAGAGCAAAGAUACAUACACUUUUAUGGUUAUUCUAAGUUUAGGGUAUCUUGAAACGUAUGACAGGCAGCAACAAAGAGGAAAAGUAAACUAAGAAAGAGUUGCCAGGAAGGAAAGUCAGAAGGAAUGAAAGAAAUACUGAAAGAAAGAAAGCUACAAGAAAGGAAAGAAAGAAAAAAAAAGCAACUGUUUGAUUAGUUUAAGUAGCGGGCUUUUUUUCAUUAUUAUUUUUUUUACGUCCUUGAAAUGUCUCCCCUGCUGUAAAAAAAAAAAAAAAAAAGUCCCAUUAUUGAGUGUGCAUAUAUGAAUUUUCUGAGUAUAUCACUUUAAAGACUUCUACGGCUAGGUUAUGUUUAGUAUAUUUAAUUCAAACACAUGAUAGGCAGCACCUUGUUGAAGAAAAUAAACAAAGAACACAAACAUCUAGACUUUUAUGGCUAGGUUAAGUUAAGGGUAUCUCGAGACUCAUGACAGACAGCAUUGUGUAGCAAAAAUCAACAAAGAACGAGCUCUCUGUGUUAAGUAGUCUCAUUAUUGGGGUUGCAGAUACCAACUUUAUGAGAGCGGUGCUGCGGCCGUGUUUAUUAUUUGCCUUCGCUCUGGGCUCGUUAAGGAAAACAAACACGUGGAAUUUAACACAACACAACGCAUCGCAUACAAACCAGCGGCUGGGCUCCCUCUUACGCAAUGGAACAAGUCGGAUGGAAACCUCAGACGCAACUUUCACUGGAGUCGCCAAACUUACUAACCUAACCUAAGCCCGCCGCGUCCUCGUCCUCAGCUGUUGUUGGCGGGGACCAUAAACAGAAAACGUGUGUGCAUAAAAAGAUAGGUAUAAAAACAAAGAAAGACAAAAGUAUGGAGGAUAAGAAUUAUAAUACAGGGAAAUAGAGAGACGUACAGGAAAGUUCAAAAUCUAGGACCGAAAAUGGAGACGUAUAGAUAUGAAAACAAAGGAAGACAAAAAUAUAGAAGAUAAGAAUUAUAAUACUGGGAAAUGGAGAGGUCAAAGGUCAAAAUCUAGGACCGAAAAUGGAGACGUGGGUUUGUGGAUGAAGAGAGACAUAUCCUCCAACUUUUCGCCUCUUACAACACUCACAUUUGACAAGGAUUUCGUUCGAGUUUGGGGCAUUUCCAGAGGUACUUUUAUGACCCUUUUGAUAGUAUGACCCUUAAGACACGUUUCGCCUCUUACAACACUCACAUUUGACAAGGAUUUCGUGUGAGUUUGGGGCAUUUCCAGAGGUACUUUCAUGACCCUGGUGGUAGUAUGACCCUU